RNAcentral lists this long non-coding RNA (2130 nucleotides) under Capsicum annuum. RNAcentral describes it as "long non-coding RNA (CANN_LNC001891)". Lineage: Eukaryota; Viridiplantae; Streptophyta; Magnoliopsida; Solanales; Solanaceae. The record is from RNAcentral.
CUUUAGACGCAGUGGCUUAAUAUAUUUACUACAACAGUAUUGUACUCUAUAGGUACGUACUAGUAAUAUUAUGCAUGGUAAGUUAAUAGUGUGCAUGGAAUGUAAUUGACAUGUUUUUGUUAUUACCAAAGCGUAAAUGCAUUUGCAACAUAAUUUCCAUUUUUAAUACUAGUACAUUUUAUUCCCUCACGUUUUCUUCGACUCUUCCUUUCCAUUAAUUUCUUAAAGGUUAACUAUAUGUAUAUGGAUCAUGCUUUCAAAUAAUUUAUAUAUCGACUUUCUUCUUUCAUUGAAUUUGAAGUGUUCUGCCAUCUAUUGUAUAAGGAAACUAAUUAAUAUCGAAAACAAAUCAAGCAUUUUGAGUUUUCAAGUAUAAUAUAAUAGUAAUGUGAAGCUUGAAUAUAAUUUCUCUUAAUUCUUAAGUUUGAUCUGCUGAUCGAUCAAUACUUACCCAGCUUCCAUUAUUGUAUAUUAAAGUGUGUCUUCUUUGUUUUUGAUUUUUAACCUCUUUGAUAUAUAUAAUCCAUAAUAAGGUCAAUUACACGUAUUUAUUUCUAUUGUAUUUACAUAUGGAUCAAUGAUCUAUUUUUCAAAUAUGUAAUUUUAAUCAUUACCAUCUUUCAAUUUUCUUUGAUUAUGAAGCAGAAAAUCAGAAAAGUAGAAGUUAGAACAGAAAUGACAAAUUAUUUUCAAGCCCACAGAUUUAUUGUGUAUUCUUAAGAAAUUUGUUGUCCGAGCUAUUUUGAAUUAAUCUCUUCCAAGACAAAAUGAAUCUAAUAUUAGAGUAUAUAAUAGCGCAGCACUUCAAAUUUAGAAUUUAUAAGAAUGAACUCUGCUUUAACAAGAAUUUGUUCUCAUAUACGUGAAGAAAAUCAAAUCUUGAAGUAUCUAUUUCAGGUUAUUCUUUGUAGUAAUUGAUUGAUCAAGGAAAUAAUUAGAAGUUGUUUUGUUUUCGAUUUUUUAAUGCAAUCUAUGCUCAAAUAUAUAUAUAUUUUUUUAAAUAACUCAAGAGCGACGAAAUAUUAUGUAUAAUAUCUGGGGAAAGACGCCUGAUUAUCAAAUGGGAAGAUUGUAAAAGAUUGUUGCACUUGAAAGAAAUAUAGAAUAUUAGUUUCUCCUUAAAUAGGAAAUUAUUAGUAUUUUUUUAAGCCUUAAAUAGGAAAACAAUUCUACUAUAUAUGGAGAUUUACUUUUAUACUCCGUCCGUUUCAAAAUAGUUGGCCCUAUUGCUAAAAAUAUUUAUUUCAAUUUAGUUGUCCCUUUUAUGAAAUCAAGAGAAUUUUAUUAUAUUCCUCCAAGAUUACCCUAUUAUUAAAUGACGAUAUAAAGUAUAUAUACUCACAUUUAUACUUUCAAAGCAUAUCCUAUUAUUAAAUGACUAUAUAAAGUAUAUAUUCUCACAUUUAUAUUUUCAAAGCAUAGUUAAUAAGGUUAAUUUGAUGAAAAAAAUACCUAAUUAAUAUUUUCUUAAUGGGUGCACCAAGUCUACAGGAGUAUUCAGUUACGUAUAUUCAUUUGAAAAACUGUCAACAUAAAAAUAUUGAAAGUUGUGCUAUUUUACUUUGCUUCAAAGUGUAUUUUAUGUGUGCUUUAAACUUGUGAAUCACUGUAUGAAUUGUGUGUAAAAUAUAUGAUAUGUGAACGACAUAGCUCUAAUUACUACUCCCUAUAAUAUGUAUGUAUUUCAGAGAUUCUUGUCCAUUUAGAAGUUACUUGUAUUUUAAGGAUGGGUUUUAUUAGUAGAGGGUUGGUACAAUUGGAUUUUUGACUUGCGUUGAGUUUUAUUUACACAUCCAAGACUCUUAUGAGAGGCAAUUUUUUUUUUUUUUUUAAUAGGCGAAAACUUGACGGAGCAAUACCGCGUAAAGGUACACGGAUAAUGUCAGAGUGUCUGGCCAUAUACUCCAAGGACACGUGGAACAUAAGAAACAUCUAUUUUUGGAUCCAAGUGUCAAUAUGUGAUGUCUUCAACUCACUCCCAAUUGUCACUCAAUUAUUUUUAUUUACUUUAUUAAGCAACCUAUUUGAUAUAUAAUGUAAAUAUUUUUCAACGAUAUUCCAGCCAAAAGGAGUUCUUGUAAGUUGUAUCUUCGCAGAUACUAAAAAAAAUAUUUAGCAGGCAAUUUGGUU